Cyprinus carpio carpio is the source of this 1112-nucleotide long non-coding RNA. Lineage: Eukaryota; Metazoa; Chordata; Actinopteri; Cypriniformes; Cyprinidae. The record is from Ensembl.
AUAUAUAUAUAUAUAUAUAUAUAUAUUUAUAUAUAUAUAUAUUAUUUCAGUCAACGUUUAUUUUAUUUCAAGUACAGAAAAUGUUUUUGGCAGUUUUAGUUAUAGUUAACUAUAACAAGUAGCUAGUGUUAUGAUGUAAUGCAUAAUACUUGAAACAUUGCAAUAAAUUAAACAUGUUACAGUACCUUUCAGAAUUUUAAGUUAUUUACAACAACAUUUUUUUCAGGAAUUCAAGUUCUUCUUAAAUAUUGCUAUAAAAACAAAAGAUUCUUAUGAACAUCGGGAAAUGGUUUUGGUAAAACUAGAUAUUCGUAACAUUAUUCUUACGUUUGAAAAUAAGAAGAAAAUGACAGUUUCGUGAAUCCGGCCCUGGGUUUUCAGUGUUUGUUUAUGUAAUAGUAUCUGUGUUUGUGAAGUGUGCAGUCCAGAGAGUCAAUUAUUCACAUGACUCAGUGAUUCAGUCAGUAAUGGAUUCACAUGACUCAGUGAUUCAGUCAAUGAUGGAUUUGCAUGAUUUGUUGAUUCAUUCGAUGUAGAUUCACAUGAUUCAGUGAUUCAAUCAAUGUUAGAUUCAAAUGAUCCAGUGAUUCACUCAUUUCUGUGUUGGUGUUUAGAUGUGUCUUAUGUCUCUCCUGGUGUUUGAUUCUCAUUCGUUAGUGAACAGAAUCAAUAUAAUCGAUGUGAUACGCCAAUGGUGUCAAUGACGAAACUUUUUCUCCAUGUGAUGUUUGUAGAAAAAACACUGAUAUUUCAUGUUUAGAACAUCUAAAUUGUAAGAUUUUCACAGUUCACAAUGAUGCCAGCACAGAGAUGUAUAAAGUUUUGUGAAUUUGCAUUAUCAUUUUGUGAUCAUACACUGUGUUGAAGGCCUGUGAGAAUCGCCGUCACUAAUCACACUAAUGAAACGAAUGACUGACGGAUUCUUAAUCAUGUGGCCAUAAAAGUACAACAAGAGCCUGUUUUUACUUCACUGCUAUGUAAAUAAUGUUUAUUACCCACCGUUACACUAGAUUGAAACAAUAACUGCAUGAAAAACCUUGGGUCAAAGGUCAUGUUUACGUUGAAAUUAUAGUUUUAAAAUAAAAGUUGUUUGUAAAACUUCUCUAAACCUC